AACGGAGGGGACAAGUGUUACUCGUCAUAACUGGGCGUAAAGGGUCCGUAGACGGCUUAGUUAAUCAAUUGAUAAAUCGAAUAGGUUAGUUGAUAUUGCUAGGCUCGAGUUUUGGGGAAGGUUGAAGUACUCCUAGUGGAGGGGUGAAAUCCGUAGAUACUGGUGGGGACUAUCACUUGGCGAAAGCAUCAACCUAUACAAUAACUGACGUUGAGGGACGAAAGCGUGGGGGAGCAAACAGG
RNAcentral lists this ribosomal RNA (242 nucleotides) under uncultured bacterium. Its description in RNAcentral is "partial 16S ribosomal RNA". It matches the Rfam family "Bacterial small subunit ribosomal RNA", at positions 524 to 776 of the family's 1533-position model. The record is from RNAcentral.